AGGCAGUUAGUCUAAAUAAAACACUUGAUUUCGGCUCAAGCCUUUUGUGGCCUAGCACCACAAUUGCCUA
RNAcentral lists this transfer RNA (70 nucleotides) under Aesopia cornuta. Its description in RNAcentral is "tRNA-Arg". Lineage: Eukaryota; Metazoa; Chordata; Actinopteri; Pleuronectiformes; Soleidae. The record is from RNAcentral.